This 454-nucleotide ribosomal RNA is filed under the name uncultured bacterium. RNAcentral describes it as "partial 16S ribosomal RNA". It matches the Rfam family "Bacterial small subunit ribosomal RNA", at positions 28 to 507 of the family's 1533-position model. The record is from RNAcentral.
GAUGAACGCUGACAGAAUGCUUAACACAUGCAAGUCUACUUGAACUUCGGUUUGGGUGGCGGACGGGUGAGUAACGCGUAAAGAACUUGCCUCACAGUUAGGGACAACAUUUGGAAACGAAUGCUAAUACCUGAUUUUAUGAUUUUAGGGCAUCCUAAAAUUAUGAAAGCUAUAUGCGCUGUGAGAGAGCUUUGCGUCCCAUUAGCUAGUUGGAGAGGUAACGGCUCACCAAGGCGAUGAUGGGUAGCCGGCCUGAGAGGGUGAACGGCCACAAGGGGACUGAGACACGGCCCUUACUCCUACGGGAGGCAGCAGUGGGGAAUAUUGGACAAUGGACCAAAAGUCUGAUCCAGCAAUUCUGUGUGCACGAUGACGUUUUUCGGAAUGUAAAGUGCUUUCAGUUGGGAAGAAAAAAAUGACGGUACCAACAGAAGAAGUGACGGCUAAAUACGUG